CAUGCAAGUCGAACGGCAGCAUAGAGAGCUUGCUCUCUGAUGGCGAGUGGCGAACGGGUGAGUAAUAUAUCGGAACGUGCCCAGUAAUGGGGAAUAACUAGCCGAAAGGUUAGCUAAUACCGCAUACGACCUACGGGUGAAAGCAGGGGAUCUUAGGACCUUGCGUUAUUGGAGCGGCCGAUAUCUGAUUAGCUUGUUGGUGGGGUAAAAGCCUACCAAGGCAACGAUCAGUAGCUGGUCUGAGAGGACGAUCAGCCACACUGGAACUGAGACACGGUCCAGACUCCUACGGGAGGCAGCAGUGGGGAAUUUUGAACAAUGGGGGAAACCCUGAUCCAGCCAUCCCGCGUGAGUGAAGAAGGCCUUCGGGUUGUAAAGCUCUUUCGAAAGUGAAGAAAACUUAUUUCAUAAUAUGUUAUGAGUAUGACGGUAACUUUAGAAGAAGCACCGGCUAACUACGUGCCAGCAGCCGCGGUAAUACGUAGGGUGCGAGCGUUAAUCGGAAUUACUGGGCGUAAAGCGUGCGCAGGCGGUUUUGUAAGUCAGAUGUGAAAUCCCCGAGCUUAACUUGGGAACUGCGUUUGAACUACCAGACUAAGU
This 600-nucleotide ribosomal RNA is filed under the name uncultured beta proteobacterium. RNAcentral's name for it is "bacterial SSU rRNA". It matches the Rfam family "Bacterial small subunit ribosomal RNA", at positions 54 to 646 of the family's 1533-position model. The record is from RNAcentral. Lineage: Bacteria; Pseudomonadati; Pseudomonadota; Betaproteobacteria.